GUCACUUCCGUCGGCGGCCGCGGCGGCCGUGGCUCCUUGGCUCGGUGGGUGGCGGCCGUGGGGACGUUGCGGCGCCCCUCGCGGACAGCGGGUGGCAACUCUCGCGGGUGGCGGGCCGCACGAGCUUUGUCCCGCGGGCUGCGCGGGGCAAUGGGGCUGAAACCUUAGAAGGAGCUGAGUUCUAAUGACCCCGAGGGAGGCAACAAAGAAGGCGCAGAGCUGAGGGAGGAGAGCAGCGGGAGCGAGCGCCUGACGGCGAGGUGGCGAGCCCAGCGCCGGCCGGGCACGGUGCAGACAAAAGUGGGUCUCAGAGCUGAAGAGUUAGUUACCUGGGCGCCUGUGAAAAUACAAGUUCGGCGUCCCCCUCCCUCCCGCCCCGAGAUUCUGGUGCCGCGUGUUUGGAGUCGGCCCAGGGAUACGCAUUUUUGUUCCCCACGCGGGCACUUCUGAUGCACGUUUUGAGGAAGUACUGAAAUAUCACUGAAAUUAAAAAGGCAAGCUCUAACUCUACCACACUCCCUCCCGGGGAAACGUCUUCAUUUGACUGGAAGGACUGCUUCAAUAACCUGCUUAGGCUGGAGGCUGCAACACUUUCCUCUAAGGGAAAUCGGUUCAGAUACAGACAGGGCUUGAUAACACUGCGUGUCGGACGCUUAUCUGGCCAGAGCUAAAUUGCUUCGGACUGAGCUCUGCUUCCAUCAGUACAGCACCUUUCCUCACUGUAAUCCCUGGCUUUUUGUCUAAAUGAAGAACUAUGUAGAAAAUAACAAGUUAGAAAGGUCACCACUUUUAGAAUCGCCUGAGUAGAACUAAUGGUGUCUCUAAUCCCAAGGAAAUCUAUUUUAAAGAAUAUGCAGAUGACUUGCAUAUAGAUUAGAUACAUGAUACAUUCAGGAAUGCUAGCAGUCUCUUUUCCAUCUGUGUGAGUGAAGGAGUUGGGAAGACGCCCUCCCCCAAGCCUCAUCAACCAGAAUGAGACUUAGAAUAAAAAUAACGAAGUGGAAUCCUCUGUAGAGAGAGCAGCCCUUGAGGACUGAUGUCACUGAUUUGACCAGUGUCACUCAUGUUACCCGAGGUAGGAGAGAAUUCAAAGUCUUGACACAAUAAGGGAGGCCCGGGCUUCCCUCGUGGCGCAGUGUUUGAGAAUCUGCCUGCCAAUGCAGGGGACACGGGUUCGAGCCUUGGUCUGGGAAGAUCUCACAUGCCGCAGAGCAACUAGGACCCGUGAGCCACAACUACUGAGCCUGCACGUCUGGACCCUGUGCUCCGCAACAAGAGAGGCCGCGAUAGUGAGAGGCCCGCGCACCGCGAUGAAGAGUGGCCCCUGCUUGCCGCAACUGGAGAAAGCCCUCACACAGAAAUGAAGACCCAACACAGCCAAAAUUAAAAAAUAAUAAAAAAUAAAUAAAUAAAUAACCUGAGUUGCCAAAACUCAGGUUAAGAUAGUAAAAAAAAACAAAAAUGGAGGCCCGCUGAUUUCAAGGGCUGACCUUGAGAACUGAGCAUAUUUAAGCUUUUUCUUAAAUAUGUUUAGACUAUAUUAUCUCCCAAGGAAUGGAAUCUGAAGGAGGCUCAUACCCCAGUCCCCACCCCUCCCGCCCAACAGGACAGAGCACUCACAUCCCCUGUAAGGCCUGUGGCAGACCACUCAACUCAGACCGGGGUCACAGUUCAGGACCACCAGACCCAGCCUCAGGGGUUGUACAGCAAAAGCAGGAAGGAUUCUGAGAGGUAGACUUCGAGAUUUACUGAAUGAAGUGCUGAUGGUCUUUCCGGGCAGUAAUGUGGGCAAGAACAUGGAUGCUGAAGGGAGAGGCAUGCGGGUGGCAGAGAGAGAAGACUGGUGUGGUUCGACAAUUGAUUAUGUUGAAUAAUGAUGACCAGAUUUCCCACUGUUGGAGAAAAUACUAAUAUGGAAAAUGGGAAGGCUAGAAAGAACCCUGAGGUGUUGGAUUGGAAAUAUAAGUAUCAUUAGGAACUCAUUUUUAAAAAUGUAAACAAAUAUAGAAAUAUAUAUAGUUGACCCUUGAAAAAUGUGGGGAUUAGAGGCACUGACCCACUGCUCAGUUGAAAAGCUGAGUAUAACUUUAUAGUCAGCCCUCAUAUCUGUGGUUCCACAUCCUUGGAUUCAACCAACCUCAGAUGGUGUAGUACUGUAGUACGUAUUUAUUGAAAAAAUAUCUGAGUAUAAGUGGACCCAUGCAGUUCAAACCAGUGUUAUUCGAGGCUCAACUAUAUAUGUAUGUCUAUAAAUAUCAUAUAUAAUAUAUAUCAGAUAUUAAAUAUAUAUGCUAGGAAAUAUAUAAUGUUUAAUAUUAUGUGUAUGUUAUAUACAUUUCCUAGUUCUGUCCUCUGAGAUGAUAGACAUGCAGUGAUACCUCAGUAGCUAUGAGCACACUGAGUAUACAGAUUUUGGUUUCUAAUACCAUGCUCCACUAAAAGGAACCAAGACUGUAUGAUCCAUAAUAAUAGACCAAGAGUGAACUGUAAUGCAAACUAUGGACUUUGGGUGAUUAUGAUGUGUCUAUCAAUCAUAGCAAAUAUACCAUGGGGGAUGUUAAUAAUGGGGAGCCUAUGUAGGGGUAUAUGGAAAUCUCUGUACCUCCCUCUCACUUUUGCUGUGAACCUUAAACUGCUCUAAAAAAUAAUAAAGUUCGAAAGUUUCAAAAAAUAUUUAUAUGGGAAAAAAAGAGGAACCAAGACUGAAGAAAUGUCAGAUUUUAGGGCUGAAGCAGGAAAACUACAAGAUAAGCCUAGAACAUCUUGUGCAGAAAUUAAGGAAAGGCUCAAAAAGUGAUAGGGCCAUGCUAAAAGGAUAAAGAAACUGGCUCAAAGAGGCUCCCGUUGGCCAUGCUGAGGACAAUUUGAGCAUGAAAAUAAAUAUUACAGUAACAGAUUAUAACCUAUUAAGUAAAAUAGGAAUCCAUGAGCUCAUCAUGAUAUAAAUCAGUAGGGAGAGAAAAAAGCUCUUCCUUUGCAGUAUAAUGCCAACCAAUAAAUGUAAAAGGAAUGAUAUAAACAGAAAAUCACUUACCAACCUGUUAGUGCUUCAGACUGGAGUUGUCAAUGGAGGCUAAGAAUGGGUGAAGUUUCAACGAGGAACAGGAUUUUAGCAUAUUAUUGGAACAUUUUCCAACAGUUAAAAAGAAAAAUAGUAGUUUUACAGUGAAGACAUCAACAUGAGUAGAUGAUCAAGGUCUACAUCACCAGUGAUGGGACAGAUUGACAUAAUGAGAAAAUUGAAGUUUGUGAGGAAUGCAUGCCUGAGUCUGGGCAUGAGGCAGCAUCCAGUGGAAUCAAGUUGAGUGUCAGCCUACGGAAUAUAAGGGCUGUAUUCUCGUAAACUCUCAAGGACAUGAUAGACAGAAGACUGAGGAACUACUCCAUGUUGGAGGAGGCCAAAGAGACAUGACAACUAAAUGCAAUGUAUGAAGGAAUCCUAGACAUGAAAACUAAGAAAGACAUUUGCGGGACAGUUGGCAAAACUAAAAUUUGAAUAGGUUCUUUGAAUGGUAGCGUUGUAUCGGUGUUGAUUUUCUGACUUCUUGGGAGGUCCUUGUUUAGGGAAAUGCACAUUAGAGUAUUUAGGGGUGGUGUAGAAUCAGGUCUGAAGCUUGUAGUGAAAUGGUUUAGAAAAAGACUGUGUGUGUGUGUGUGUGUGUGUGUGUGAGAGAGAGAGAGAGAGAUGUUAAAAGUUGGUGAAUCUGGGUAAAGGCAAUAUCGGAGUUUUUUUGGACUGUACUUGCAACUCUUCUGUGAGUCUGAAAUUAUUCUGAAAUCAUUUUUUAACAUUAAAAUUGCUACGUGCUAAUGGAACUAUAAAGCAGUGGUUCUCAGAUCUGGGGAGUCUCAGUCAUUAGCAGCUUUGACUAUCUGACAAAAUCUGUGGGCUUUUUUCCCAGAAAAACUGCAUAAACACAAAAUUGCAUACAGUUUCCAGGAGUUCAUGGUUGCCUUCAAGUCCAGGCAGAAACCUCAGGUUAGAAGAGCUUCUCAUUUAAAGUAUUGAGAAAAAUGAUGAUGUUUACUUCCCUUUCCAAGAAUAUAGCAGGCUAGGUUAUUUAGACCAACAGUUGAAAAUACUUGAUAAAAUAUUGACAUAUUUUUAAAACCACUGAAGAGUUGACAAAAAUGGUAAAGCAACUAGCAGGCCGGAAUCUAAGGACGGGAUAUAAAUGGAACAAGGCAGUUGCUUUUGCUCUGCUGAUUACAGGCAAACUUUGAACCUGAAUUUUGACAGCUUCCAGGAGCAAGAAUAACAACUGUCAAAGCCCAGAGCCUGCCCACGGUGAAACAUCUGUUAAGAGACCUACCAGGAUUCUCCCCCAGGGCCUCCAGAACUGCGAUCUCAGGAGGAAUAGUGAACCAAAAGUAGACCCCUCUCUGAAACUUUUAGGAAAAUUUGGUUUUGCUGAGCCUUAUUAAAUUAUACCCACGAACCAACCCUGGCAUGGAUUGCACCUCAAACUCAUGACACGCCAGUAACCAAAUAAUCUCAAGCAAUAAAUUUAGUUCAAAAUGAUCCUGAACUACUGGGACCCCUAAGUACCUGGAAGAUACAAUAUAGUAAUCCCAUAUCUGGGAUAUAUAUAUAUAUGUAUACAAACAAUAACGUACAGAUAACAGAAACCAUCCUACAAAGACUUCAGAUAUGGGGUUACCAGACAAAGAUUGUAAAGAAAGUAUACUUACUAGGACCUUUUUUGAAAAAAAGUGAUGAAACAAUUUUAAAAUAUCAGUUUUAUGCCAGAAUUACAUCUUUGCUGCCAUUUAAACAUACAAUGAAAAAUUUUUAUCAACAAAUGAAGGUAAUAAUUUUUUAGGGUGUACACAAGCAAAAUCUUUAGAGAAUUCUGCAUUAGCAUGAAUGAGGCUACAUCUGUCCUUGUGCACUUGGAAGUCAAUGGCUGUGGAUCUUCAACAGCCGUGGCCCCCUUUCAUUUACUGAUGUUUCCCUUAGGCCAACACAGGUCUGGGCAUGUAGUAGUAAGUCAAUAAAUAUUGGCUGAAUAAACAAAGCAUAAUUUUCCAAUAGAUACUUUUUGUUGCUGAAAUAGCAACAUGUAUAUGAAUGCCUUUCUUAGCAAGAGACACAUUCAUAAGGUAGCUGAAAUAUCAAUUGAGCAACAGUGAUAUAUAAGGUUUGGUGUGUCUGUACUUCUGCAUCUGCACUUCUCAGUUAUAAUGAAUUCAGUUUCAAUGCUUCAGGCAGAUAGUCUCAACAAGGAGCUACAUUGAGUCAAAUCAAAUCAUCACAACAAGGUACCAAGUGUUUCUUAUCCCUAACAUAUUCAGAUACAAUAUUCAAAUAAAAAUUACUUGCAAUUUAAGCCAAAAUGUUACUGAGAUGAAGGCCUUCAAGACCAGUUGUUUUCUGCACAUUUUAUUAUGAACAUUUUCAAAUAUACAGAAAAGUUGAAGGAAUAAUACAAUGAACACCUAUAUGCCCUCAACCUAGAUUCAACAAUUAUUAAGAUUUAGCCAUAUGUAUUUUAACUAUAGUUUUUUUUCUGUGUCAUUUGGAAGUGUGUGUCUGAACAACUUUCCCCCUAAGCAUUUUAGCAUGUAUCUCCUACAGUUAGAAUAAUGUCCUUUAAACCCAUUGCCACACCAUAACAACAUCUAGAAUCUAAAGUUUCUAUAAUUGUCCCAAGAAUGUCUUUUAUAGUUUUGUUUUGAAUUUUUUUUUUGAACAGGCAUUCAAUUGACCUUCAUGCAUUGCCACUGGUUUAAGCCUACAUAGUCUCCCUUAAUCUAAAACAGUCCUUGUACCUUUCAUUUUUCGAUGACAAUCCCUGUUGGAAAAUCACAGGACAGUUGUUUUAUACAAUGUCCUUCAUUCUAGAUUUGUCUGAUUGAUUUGUCCUGGUGUCAUUUAACUGUUCCUUUAGCCCCUGUAUUUCCUAUAAACUGGAAGUUAGCCUAGAGGCUUGAUAUGACUAAAGUUAAACAUUUUUUAGCAAGAAUAUUUUAUAGAUGAUGUGUUUUUCAUAUGGUAGCAAAUCAGGAGGCCAAAAUGUCAGGUUGGACCAUGAUUACUGAUGCCGAGUUUGAUCACUUGGUUAAAGUGUUGGCUACUGAGUCUCACCAUUCAUUAAUCACACAUGAGUAGAGACUUUCCUGGUGGUCCAGUGGUUAAGGCUCCAUGCUUCCAAUGCAGGGGGCCUGGGUUCGAUCCCUGGUCAGGGAACUAAGAUCACACAUCCCUGUGGCAUGGCCAAAAGAAAAUAUUUUUUUAAGUAAAACAAAAGAAUCUGUGGAGUAAAACAUGAAAGCCACAGUCCUUCAUAUUCUUUCAUUUAUAUCUUUUUCACGAAGUAGGACAGCCAAAAUUUUAAAUUAUUCUUAAAUUUGAAAGUGCAUGCUAUCAUUAAAAACAUUCUUGUUGAUAUUUGUAAUGACAAGUGUAUCUUACAAAACCUUCUAAGCUCUUUAUUAAAAAUUUCUCCUGUAAUUUUUGCACUUCCCUGGCAGUCCAGUGGUUAAGACUCCACGCUUCCAAUGCAGCGGGUGCAGGUUUGAUCCCUGGUCGGGGAACUAAGAUCCCACAAGCCGUAUGGUAUGGCCAUUAAGGAUAAAAAAGUCUCCUGUAAUUUUUCCAAUGAAAUAAAACCUUGUUCUGUUUG
This is a long non-coding RNA of Orcinus orca (killer whale), 6626 nucleotides long. RefSeq lists it as uncharacterized. NCBI's taxonomy places the organism in Eukaryota, Metazoa, Chordata, Mammalia, Artiodactyla, Delphinidae. The transcript has 2 exons. The record is from RefSeq and is a predicted model, not a curated record.